This 253-nucleotide ribosomal RNA is filed under the name uncultured bacterium. Its description in RNAcentral is "partial 16S ribosomal RNA". It matches the Rfam family "Bacterial small subunit ribosomal RNA", at positions 524 to 776 of the family's 1533-position model. The record is from RNAcentral.
UACGUAGGGGGCUAGCGUUGUCCGGAAUCAUUGGGCGUAAAGAGCUCGUAGGCGGUUUGUCGCGUCUGCUGUGAAAACCGGAGGCUCAACCUCCGGCCUGCAGUGGGUACGGGCAAACUAGAGUGCGGUAGGGGAGAUUGGAAUUCCUGGUGUAGCGGUGGAAUGCGCAGAUAUCAGGAGGAACACCGAUGGCGAAGGCAGAUCUCUGGGCCGUAACUGACGCUGAGGAGCGAAAGCGUGGGGAGCGAACAGG